Molecule: unclassified non-coding RNA, 245 nt
Filed under: uncultured fungus
Lineage: Eukaryota; Fungi
Description: partial contains 5.8S ribosomal RNA, internal transcribed spacer 2, and large subunit ribosomal RNA
Source: RNAcentral
AACGCACAUUGCGCCCUCCAGUAUUCUGGUGGGCAUGCCUGUCCGAGCGUCAUUUCAACCCUCAGGCCCGGCCUGGUGUUGGGGAUUGGCCCCCGCGGCCAGCCCCGAAAUGCAGUGGCGGCCCUCCGCAACUCCUCUGUGCAGUAGUGAUACCGCAUUGGACCGUGACGGAGGGAACUACAGCCAUCAACCCCCCACUUCUCAAGGUUGACCUCGGAUCAGGUAGGAAUACCCGCUGAACUUAA